This 195-nucleotide ribosomal RNA is filed under the name uncultured bacterium. Its description in RNAcentral is "partial 16S ribosomal RNA". It matches the Rfam family "Bacterial small subunit ribosomal RNA", at positions 338 to 524 of the family's 1533-position model. The record is from RNAcentral.
CCUACGGGAGGCAGCAGCCGAGGAUCAUUCGCAAUGCGCGAAAGCGUGACGGUGCGACGCCGCGUGCAGGAUGAAGGCCUUCGGGUCGUAAACUGCUGUCAUGAGGGAACAAUAUCCGGGAUGUGAAUACCAUUUCGGGAUGAUAGUACCUUAUGAAUAAGCCACGGCUAACUCUGUGCCAGCAGCCGCGGUAAU